This is an RNA transcript of Calypte anna (Anna's hummingbird), 5712 nucleotides long. It is a transcript of the gene named mutL homolog 3, with no coding region annotated. The record is from RefSeq and is a predicted model, not a curated record. Lineage: Eukaryota; Metazoa; Chordata; Aves; Apodiformes; Trochilidae. The transcript has 11 exons.
GCUCCCUUCCCGGCCCCAUCGUUCGCACUUGUCCUGACACGGGAGCCGCGUGCGGGCACGGCAGGCUGCGACGGGAGUUGUUUUAAGGAACAUGAAGGAGUGAGCUCCCUGCAAUUUCUCAAGUUUCUCAUCUAUCUGAUUUUGACAUGAUCAAAUGUUUGGUGGAAGAUGUGCGAGCCAGGCUGCGUUCUGGAGUGACUAUCAACUCACUGGGGCAGUGUGUCGAGGAGCUUGUCCUCAACAGUAUUGAUGCCAAAGCAACAUGUAUAGCUAUCAGGGUGGAUUUAGAAGCUUUUAAGAUCCAGGUCGUGGACAAUGGCUCUGGGAUGGGGAGAGAGGACUUGAAUGCAAUGGGAAAGCGCUACUUCACCAGCAAGUGCAGCUCAGUGGGAGACCUGGAGAACCUGACAUUCUAUGGCUUUAGAGGGGAGGCUGUCGCAAGCAUAGCCAACAUGGCCAGUGUAGUUGAAGUGUCAUCUAAGACCAGCAGGACAGCAAAAACAUUUGUGAAACUGUUUCACAAUGGGCAGGCACUGGAAGUCUGUGAAGCUGAAAUGAACAGACCAAGUGGUGGAACUACAGUGACCGUGUGUAAUCUGUUCCAUCAGUUACCAGUGAGGAGAAAGUGUAUGGACCCUGUACUAGAAUUUGAGAGGGUGAGACAGAAAGUAGAGGCUAUUUCUCUGAUGCAUCCUUCUGUCUCACUUUCUUUAAGGAAUGAUGCUUCUUGUUCUAUGGUUCUUCAGCUCCCUAAAACAAAAGAUGUGUACUCUCGGUUUUGUCAAAUUUAUGGACUGGGCAGAUCACAGAAGUUACGAGAAAUAAAUCAUAAGUCUGGGGGAUUUCAGUUAAGUGGUUAUAUCAGUAUUGAAGGACAUUACAACAAGAAUAUGCAGUUCUUGUAUGUGAACAGAAGGCUUGUUUUAAAGACAAGACUACAUAAACUAAUUGACUUUUUAUUAAGAAAAGAAAGUGUCAUUUGCAAGUCAAAAAGUGUCCCUGUGAGCAGACAGGCUAGUUCAAGUCCUGGUCGCCAUCGUUGUGGCCCAGAGUUGCAUGGUAUCUUUGUUCUCAAUGUGAUCUGUGCAUACAGCGACUACGAUGUGUGCCUGGAACCUGCGAAAACUCUGAUUGAGUUCCAAAACUGGGAUGUUCUUCAAACUUGCAUAGAGGAAGGAGUGAAAUCAUUUUUGAAACGAGAAUAUUUAUUUAUUGAACCAUGUAGUGAGGACGUAAGGGAAUUUAAUGAAGAUAAUGACUUCUGUUGGUGUAAUGCUCCAGUUCUCGAGUCCUCAAUCUCUGAUGAGAAGAGCAUCCAAAACAGUUUUAAGAAAGCAUGUGAUGAAAUUGUGAAUUCCUAUGAAAUGUGUAACUUGCAAUCAAAAAAUGUAAAAAGGAUAUCCGUGACUGGAAAAAAAUCUUUGAAUCUUACAGAGUCAAAUAAAAGUCAACAGGAAACAGAAAUUAUGCCAGGUCACCAGAUUGCUCAACCACCUGAUCCAUGUGGAAACAACAAACAGGAGAUUUUACUGCCCAGUAAGGGUGACACAGCUUCUGAUUUCAAUAUAUCAAAUAUUCCUGAGCAGGAGCCAAAAGACACCAGCAGUUCCCAAAAAACAUCUGAUACUCAUCUGAAACCUUCAGAAAACCUUCUUUCCUCUUUCAGCAGGGGGGCCAGAUCCGAAACGGGAGAAGUAGACAGUUGUGGAGAGCUGCAGCAUUGUGCAGAGAAUUACAUAAAAGAUGUGGGAAGCCAGCAAGGUGAAGGAGUGCAGAAGAGUGUGGUCCAUAUCUUAAGUACUGAUGCUAACCAUUCGCCCUCUGAGAGAGAAGACACCAGUGAAACAGCACUGGGAGCUGACACUGUCUCUGGAACUUCAUUGCUGACACCGUGUAAUGCAGGGAAGGGAGACGGGGAAACUUCUGACGACACAGAUGAUGCUGGAAGAGGGAUUGUUAGCUUGAGACCACUAAAAUUGUGCUCUACAGGCCUCAGAACACAUGUUAUGCAAAGUGGACCCCCACAUGAAUAUGAAAAAAGAGAAACAUUAAACAUGCAGUGUAGACCUGGCCCUGUCUGUGCCAAAGAUUUUUUUGGCCGCAAAGUGAAUUUUCCAAGUCAGUCUUUAAAUUCUAAGGGUAUUUCCAUUAAUACAAAUGAGGAACAUACACCUGCUCACAGGGGAGAGGCAUGCAUGGCUGAUGGUAACAAGUGGUUAGGGAACAAAAGUUUGUCACAUCAGGUGAGUAAGGGGACAGGAAUGCCUCUUGACACCAGUAGAAGAUAUUGUGAGACAUCAAAUGUUGCAGAAUUGCCACUAGCAACUUCUUCAGGUAUUUCUCACAACAAAGUUAUAAAAAGUAGUAGAAGACAAAUAGUUGUGCCAAGACAUCAGCCCACUAAGAAGCUGAGCUUGUCCACACAGCAGGGUUCAUUAGAAAAGUUCAGGAGAUAUUAUGGGAAAGUGAAGUGUACUCUACCAGCACCAUUGUCAGAGCAGCGUGAAUUUGGUUUCACAGUAUUUAAUUCACAAGCUAAUUAUGAAUUUUCAAAGAAUGAGAAUGACAACCAUGGUAGUGUGAGUGCUUGUGAAACCCCAACUGUAGAAAAUAACAGUAUUACAGAUUCUAACAGCAGUAGUCAAGUUUUUGUGUCUUUGAAAGAGACUUUAUUCUGCAGUGGAGAAACUUCACAGGACAAACGAGACUUUUGUCAGAGUCCUUUGACAUUAUCUGAUUACUCUCAGGAUUGUGAAAAAAAUACAAAUUGUCAGAGAUCUCCAGGAUCUUUAUCAUCCAAACUGUCUAGAAUGAAAAGUGACCACAAGGAAGGAGAACAAUUUGGUGAACAAGUCCAAACAGAUUCAGGUAGAAAAGAGGACUACUGUUUUCAUCUUGAAUCUUCAAACAAUGAUUUUUUGUACAGUGCUUGUCAGACAACUGAACCUUCAGUGGAAGUAAUGAGGGAAUGUGAUUACAGCAUUUUGACGGGAGGUACGUGCUUACAAUCAGAUGGAAUGAGACCAGAGUCCAUGAGAAGUACUGUCAACUCAUCACCACUCAGCAGCAUAGAAGGGGAGUACACAGUCUCUUCAAGCACUGUUUUAUCACUGCCUGCUAAAAAUUACUCUACUAACAUCCAUAAAGAUAUAAGUACAUUGGAUGAAUCCUUGGAACAAAAUUUGAAAGAUACUGAGGUUUCCCAUAUGACCUUCCCAAGUAAUUUGGAAUUCUCUGUGGAUAAUACUAGCACAGGUGAUCCCAGGAAUGAUUUGUGGGGUUCUGACUGGAUGCAAGAUUUUGAUGUUUCGUCAGGUAAGACAAUAUACAUAAACAAAGCAACUGGGCUGAGCACCUACAACACUCCUCCGGCUGAAGGAUUUCAAGCUGCCUGCAUUCAAGAUAUCACAACCAUGGCUGUGAAUGUUGUCUCAGAGAAUGAUGCUGAAGGGGAGUCUCUCCAGUCAUUGCUUUCAGAAUGGGAUAAUCCUGUUUUUAUACCUUGCCCAGAGAUUGCUGUUGAUGUGACUAGCAGUCAGGCCGAUGAUCUGGCUGUGAAAAUUCACAAUAUCUUGUAUCCUUAUCGUUUCACCAAAGACAUGGUUCAGUCAAUGCAGGUUCUUCAGCAAGUGGACAAUAAAUUUAUCGCUUGUGUAAUCAACACCAGGAAUGAAAUGGAUAAAAAGGCAGAUGGAAACCUCUUGAUUUUGGUGGACCAGCAUGCAGCUCAUGAGCGGAUCCGCUUGGAGCAGCUUAUUGCAGGUAAGGAUUCAGAUGGUCCUAGACAGACAGACAGACAGACAGUGCACAGAAAAGUACAAAUGAGCUGUCUGAAAGGGAAAGCUUACCAACUAACUUAUCAUAAGGAUAAAUCCGGGAUAUAUGGGAUCAACAGGACGUUAACUUGUCACCUUUAUCCUGAUCGGUAGGAGGGUGCAGACAUUCAGUAUCUGUAGCAGUCACAGUAUUGGCAUCUGAAAAUUGUUACAGUGUUUCCAAAAAUAGCAGAUUUACUCCCUACCCACAGAGCUAUGAAGCUAAAAUAGUCUUCACGUAAUAAAAGAGCAGGAAGACUGAUAGGAAAAACAAUGAAGAGGAAAUAGAACAACAUCAAUAAGAUUAUGUGGUUAUGCUGUGAAGAACAAGACACGGGGUGCAGAGUAAAGGGCACAGUUCAUUUGGUUCCUUUUUAGCUGAAUACUGUGCUUAAAGCCUAAAUUUUCCACAAUCUGUUUGCAAAGGGAUAAUGGUCUUCUCUGUAAGCUCAUUAACCAUUGGUUUCAGUGUUAAAAAACACAAUAACUAUCCUUCAAGUACUUAAAAAUCAUUGACCUCCUCUUUCAUCUGUAAAUACUGUGAAGUUCCUGCAGAGAGGGUUCCAGGAACUCCGCUCCUUUUGGUCAGGUACUGAAAAAAAAAGAAGACUGUGGAGAGAAAUGCUUAAUGAAUAGUAUUUUAAUGCCAUUUAUAUCAGACUUUUCAGUGGAAAAAUUGCUCUCUGUGUUUUGAACUAAAUAUGUCUUUUCUUUUUUUUUUUUUUUCUCUAUUUAGAGUGACUCUUUUUUGGAACUGGUGGGAAAAAACAAAGUGUCAUUAACCAGCCCUUCCCCAGAGACUAGAUGUCUGGUUUGUGACAUUCUCAAUCCCCCACAAGUUUCAGGAGAAGGCAUUCUGUGGUCACUUUUUAAUCCACACAGGGGAUUACAUGCCAAACCAUGGGGUCAUUAAGGGUAAUGCCUGCGUAAAUAUUCUGAGAGAGAAUAUUUCUGAACGAUUCAUUCACAGAUUCCUAUGAGAAGGAAGCUGCAGCACGUGGCAAGAAGAAAUUGCUGUCCUCCUCCAUCUCUCCACCUUUGGAGAUUGAAGUUACAGAAGAACAAAGAAGAUUUCUACGAUGCUGCUACAAGAAAUUGGAGGACUUGGGUCUUGAAUUAUCAUUUCCUGAGACCAACAGCUCCUUGAUUCUAGUGAGGAAAGUGCCACUCUGUUUUAUAGAAAGAGAAGCCAACGAAUUACGACGGAAAAGACAGCCUGUCACUAAAAGCAUAGUGGAGGAGCUUAUUCAAGAACAAGUUGAGCUAGUGCAGACCACAGGAGGAGGAGCACGAGGGACACUGCCUCUGACAUUUCUGAAAGUGUUAGCAUCCCAGGCCUGUCAUGGAGCUAUUAAGUUUAACGAGCAUUUGAAUUUGGAGGAGAGCUCCAGGCUUAUUGAAGCUUUGUCAUCUUGCCAGCUGCCCUUCCAGUGUGCUCAUGGAAGACCUUCCAUGAUGCCUCUUGCAGACAUAGACCAUCUACAGGAGGAAAAGCAGCCUAAACCUAAUUUGGCCAGGCUGCGGAAGAUGGUACGAGCAUGGCACCUAUUUGGAAAAAAAAAGCCCUGAUGAAAAGUGAAGACUGAAAGCUGCAGCCACUACAUGUGUUGGUAUGAUGCAGGUGCCCCUCUUAGACAAUACCCUGUGUGGAGCCAAGUUUCUGAGCCAAUGCAGUACCUGCAGUUCUGCCCUGAGUACUGACCUAAUAAACAGAGAACAGCCAGGACAACAUGGAGAGAGGAGCCCACCUGCCGACCCUUGUAGCCUGGAGGAGCAUUUUCAAAGUUAAGUAAUUACACUGGUAAGCCUGCACCUUAUGUCAGUCCUUGACUAUGGGAGGCAGGAAGCUGCAGCCACUCACAGUUACUAAAGUGCUAUUUCUCUGGGGAAAAAAAAA